GAACGCUGGCGGUAUGCCUAACACAUGCAAGUCGUACGAGAGGUUUUUAAACUCUAGUGGCGGACGGGUGAGUAACACGUGAGAAUUUGCCUUUAGGAGGGGGACAACAAUCGGAAACGAAUGCUAAUACCCCAUAUGCUUUCGAGUGAAAUGGAUUUAUCCGCCUAGAGAGAAGCUCGCGGCUGAUUAGCUUGUUGGUAAGGUAAGAGCUUACCAAGGCGACGAUCAGUAUCUGGUUUGAGAGGACGAUCAGACACACUGGAACUGAGACACGGCCCAGACUCCUACGGGAGGCAGCAGUGGGGGAAUAUUGGACAAUGGGCGAAAGCCUGAUCCAGCAAUGCCGCGUGAGUGAUGAAGGCCUUCGGGUUGUAAAGCUCUUUUACUCGGGACGAUAAUGACGGUACCGAGAGAAUAAGCCCCGGCUAACUCCGUG
This 436-nucleotide ribosomal RNA is filed under the name uncultured bacterium. RNAcentral's name for it is "bacterial SSU rRNA". It matches the Rfam family "Bacterial small subunit ribosomal RNA", at positions 31 to 507 of the family's 1533-position model. The record is from RNAcentral.